UCCGUAGGUGAACCUGCGGAAGGAUCAUUAAUAAUGCUCUCUGGCUUCGGUCAGUCGAGUUCAAUGAGUGCCUUCUCUUCGGAGUUGGCCAUCCAUACACACCGUGAACUGUGGCUUCGGCCAUCACAAACUGUUAGUAAUGAAUGUAAUAUCAUAACAAAAACAAAACUUUUAACAACGGAUCUCUUGGCUCUCGCAUCGAUGAAGAACACAGCGAAAUGCGACAAGUAAUGUGAAUUGCAGAAUUCAGUGAAUCAUCGAAUCUUUGAACGCACCUUGCGCCCUUUGGCAUUCCGAAGGGCAUGCCUGUUUGAGUGUCAUGAAACCUCACCCCACUUGGGUUUUUGCCUGAGCGGUGGUGUAUUGGGUGUUGCCUUGCCAAAGGCUCGCCUUAAAAACAUAAGCACCUUGGAUGUACUACGUUUCAUCCUUCUGGGUGGCUGAUAACCCCACAUAUUCAUGAUCUGGCCUCAAAUCAGGUAGGGCUACCCGCUGAACUUAAGCAUAUCAAUAAGCGGAGGAAAAGAAACUAACUAGGAUUCCCUUAGUAACGGCGAGUGAACCGGGAUGAGCUCAAAUUUGAGAUCUGGCGUCUUUCAGGCGUCCGAGUUGUAAUCUAUAGAGGCGUUUUCCGCGCUGGACCGUGUACAAGUCUCCUG
RNAcentral lists this ribosomal RNA (659 nucleotides) under uncultured fungus. RNAcentral describes it as "partial 18S ribosomal RNA". The stretch from base 167 to 320 matches the Rfam family "5.8S ribosomal RNA". Lineage: Eukaryota; Fungi. The record is from RNAcentral.